UAAAGGAAGAACACCUAGCUUUGAUUGGAAAUUUUGUUCUGUAAACUGACUUUAACAGGUCAAAUCAUGUUCUGCUUUCAAAGAGUCAGUCAAAACUAAACUUAUUAAUACAACUUUUAAGUCUAGUAUUGUCAUAUUGAUUUAAAAAUGUAUGGGAAAGCCAGAUAAAAGACAGAGGAAAUAAGGUCCCCUAAAGUCACAAUAAUGAGGAUUAUAUAAAAAAGUUUAUUUGGUAUAUUCAAUAUUUAAAUGUAUUUUGUUUUAAACAGGUCAAAUUAUGUUCUGACUUCAAAGAGUCAGUCAAAAACUAUACUUUAACUAAUUAUUGCAACUUCUAAGUCUGGCAUUGUCAUAUGCAUUUAAGAAUGUAUGGGAAAAACAGAUAAAAGACACCCAAUAAUAAAGUCACAAUAAUGAGGACUAUAAAAAAGUUUACUUGGUAUAUUCAAUAUUAAAUGUAUUUUGUUUUAAACAGGUCAAAUCAUGUUCUGACUUAAAAGAGUCAGUCCAAAACUAAAAUAAAUUUAUUGAAAUAUAUAAGCUGGGCAUUGCCAUAUGUUAUUUAAUGAAUGUAUGGGAACGUCAGAUAAAAGACACAGGAAAUAUAUGUAAGAUCCCCUAAAAUAAAUAACCAUUUGACUUAAUUGUUUCUAAAAACUUAUCAAAUAAUAAACUCGAAAAUGGCAGAUUCAGAAGCAGGGCUUAAAGG
This is a long non-coding RNA of Mytilus californianus (California mussel), 709 nucleotides long. RefSeq lists it as uncharacterized. The transcript is spliced from 3 exons. The record is from RefSeq and is a predicted model, not a curated record. NCBI's taxonomy places the organism in Eukaryota, Metazoa, Mollusca, Bivalvia, Mytilida, Mytilidae.